UGCGAGCGUUGUCCGGAAUCAUUGGGCGUAAAGGGCGCGUAGGCGGCCUGUUAAGUCGGACGUGAAAUCCCUCGGCUCAACCGGGGAACUGCGUCCGAUACUGGCGGGCUUGAAUUCGGGAGAGGGAUGUGGAAUUCCAGGUGUAGCGGUGAAAUGCGUAGAUAUCUGGAGGAACACCGGUGGCGAAGGCGGCAUCCUGGACCGACAUUGACGCUGAGGCGCGAAAGCCAGGGGAGCAAACGGG
Molecule: ribosomal RNA, 244 nt
Filed under: uncultured bacterium
Lineage: Bacteria
Description: partial 16S ribosomal RNA
Rfam family: Bacterial small subunit ribosomal RNA
Source: RNAcentral